This 80-nucleotide transfer RNA is filed under the name Cavia porcellus (domestic guinea pig). It matches the Rfam family "tRNA". Rfam says of the family: Transfer RNA (tRNA) molecules are approximately 80 nucleotides in length. Their secondary structure includes four short double-helical elements and three loops (D, anti-codon, and T loops). The record is from Rfam by way of RNAcentral. Lineage: Eukaryota; Metazoa; Chordata; Mammalia; Rodentia; Caviidae.
GGAUGUGUAACUCAGUGGUAGAGUUUAGAGUUACUUGCCCAGCACAUGCAAAGUCCUGGGUUCAAUUCCCAGCACCACUG